Loxodonta africana (African savanna elephant) is the source of this 6166-nucleotide long non-coding RNA. RefSeq lists it as uncharacterized. The transcript has 3 exons. The record is from RefSeq and is a predicted model, not a curated record. NCBI's taxonomy places the organism in Eukaryota, Metazoa, Chordata, Mammalia, Proboscidea, Elephantidae.
AAGGUAAUGUAUCCAAAAGUGGCAGAUGUCCAAUGUUGGCACUGCUCACAGCUACCUGGGGCUAUCACAUACCUUCGCUGUGACUUGCAGCCUUUACCACUAUAACGCUGAGCCUUCUUUAGUUAUGUCUCUUUUAUACAUAAGAGAGUUUCAUCAUACUUGUCGAUAUAAUGUGCCAUUUAUAAUUGGUUCCAAUUAUUAACGGAUGUUUGCAGCUGUUUCUUCUCAUUUUGAGUCGUGCCACAUCAGCAAAUGAAGGUCCCGAAAGCUUUACUCCAUCUACAUCAUUAAGGCCGACACUACUUUGAGGAGGCAGCUCUUCACCAGUCAUCUUUUGAGUGCCUUCCAUCCUGGGGGGCUCAUCUUCCAGCACUAUGUGAGACAAUGUUCCGCUGCUAUUCAUACAUAAGGUUUUCACUGGCUAAUGCUUUUCAGAAGUAGCCUUCCAGGUCCUUCUUCCUAGUCUGUCUUAGUCUGGAAGCUCAACUGAAACCCGUCCUCCAUGGGUGACCCUGCUGGUAUCUGAAUACCGGUGGCGUAGCUUCCAGCAUCACAGCAACACGCAAGCCCCCACAGUACAACAAACUGACAAUUCAUAGUUAGUGUUUCAAAUGAUCAUCUUCAGGAAGAGCUUAUAAAGUUCAGAUGCACUGUAUUAUUUGUAUGUUAUUUAAAUAGGCUCCCCCUGUAUAUAUACAGUAUUUCCUGUGUUACACAGACUCUCCUCUGACAAUACGGACAUUGUUAUCUGUUACAGUUUGAAUUGUGUCCUGCCAAAAUAUGUGUUGUAAAUCCUAACCCCUAUACCUAGGGUUAUAAUCCCAUUUGGGAAUGGAUUUUCUUUGUUAUGUUAAUGAAACAGUAUUACUGUAGGGUAUGUCUCGAGCCAAUCUCUUUUGAGAUAUAAAAGGAGCAAAUUAAACAAGCGGGGGGGAAGGGGGAGAUAGAUGCCAUGCCACAUGAAGAUCAUCUAGGAGCCAAGGAAGAGAAGCUGAAAAGAGACAAUUAUCUUCCCCCAGAGCAGACAGCAAAAGCCUUCCCCUAAAGCGGCCACCCUGAUUUUGGACUGCUAGCCUCCUAAACUGAGAAAAUAAACUUCUGUUUGUUAAAGCCACCCACUUUUGGUAUUUCCGUUAUAGCAGCACUAAACCGCACUAGAUGACUAAAAUACCAUUCUGAGCAACAAUAAAAUCUAAUGUGGUAAAUACUGGCUAUCUUAGGCUGGGUUCUCUAGAGAAGCAAAACCAGUAAAGCAUCUGUCUGUCUCUCUGUCUAUCUGUCUGUCUGUCUACACACACACAGAGAGAUAGAAAGGUUUAUCUCAAGGAAAUGGCUUAGCUGGUUGUAGGGGCUGGUAAGUCUCAAGUGCACGGGUCAGGUGGCGGGCUGGAGUCGUCUCCAGAUUUAUGUAGCUGAAGGGGCUGACAAACUUGAUUGGCAGUUGAGCUGGCAAGCCACUAGCUCAUGUCCCAAGAGCCAGAGGUCAGAUGAUGAUGAGCUGGAUGCAGAAUCCAGAUCAGGCAAAAGCCAAUGUGUGUUUUCCAGAACACCCACAUAUAUUGGAUGCAGGCCAUAACCCUGAGGAAAUGUCCCUUACAACUGAUUGGCUGAUCACAUCAUGGAGGUGAUUACAUUAUAUCACAAAAUGGAGGAUAACUACAUCAUUAUGUAACUGCCAAGUUACAUCAUUACCAUAACUGCCCAACCACUGAGAAUCAUGGCACAGCCAAGUUCACACAAUCUUAACCAUCACAGCUCAUCCCUUGUCAAUUUGGCACCUGUACACACCUCCUUAAAUCAUACACAACCUCUAAAUAAAGACAAUUACAGAGUCAUACUUGAGGUUAACACGAUACAAUUAACACGCAUACAACUGAAAAUAUCCUAGCUCCGUUUACAUCUUAUAUGUUGUAAGUAAAGAAAACAAGAAAUAUUUGAUGCACACAUUCAAGGAAGAUAUACUCAUAACAAUUAUAGUCCUCAUUUCUACAACUGGUCAUGUAGUCAUAACUGGUAUUUAGGACUACCUUCUUUCACCACCCAUUCUGUAUUCCCUUUGCCCUCAGUAAGCAGCUCAGCGGGUCAUGGUUCUUUGCCUGGUGGGGUGACCCAAACUUUUAUUCCUGAAGGGUCUGGGUGAUUAGCAGUCAUGUUGGAAUUGGGUUCCAACAUGUAGUUUUCCACUGACUUUAAUCACAGGGCAUGGUAGUACUAAGAGACAUCCUAAGGGAUCUCCUGUAUUCCAGGUAUACGCUUCUUUAUCUCCAUUAUGUAAUACCAAUCCUAUUUCCCUUUGAUAACCAGGAUCAAUCACAGCAGCCAAUACAGUAACUCCCUUCUUUGCCUGUUACUCCAGAGGAAUGAGAAACACAAACUAUCUGCGUGGGACUCUUAGGAAGAAGAACACAGCCACUGAUAAGCCACAGCCCAGCAGGGAGAGAGAUGGGGGCUAAGCACCACAACAUCUCUCUCGUUCCACAUUCUAAUCUCCUACCAGUGCCAUCCACUAGUUACCCAACCAGAAGCCAGAAGACAAGGGAGCCUGGAUGAUGCAGUCUGUACGAGGUAGUCACCCUGGGGAAGAGCAGAGAAGUGCUAGGGUGAGGCAAGUGAGGCACUCGCCUUAGUGCAAAAAAUACUUAAGAGGGCACCCAAAACCUCAGCAAUCAAGAUAAAUCAUAUUUUAGUGCAAUGUUUUUAAAAAUCAAAAUUAACGCAACAAAAUCCAUGAUGAAUGAAGUAUUAACACAUAUUUUGUAAAAGACAGAAUCUGGCCCUGUACUUUCACAUCUCAACUAGUCUCAUUUCUAAACAGAUCUGAAGAGGAAAUACAGAAAACCCGAAAUGUGGGGAACUUUAUAGGACAAAUAUCCCAGGUUUUCAAUAAAUAUAUUGUACAGAAAAAAGAAAAAGAAGGGGGCUGUGGCCUUUGUUUGGAUUUUAAUUUAAACAAAUAAACUAAAAUAGUGUGUAAAAAUACAUCAUGAGGCAAUCUGGGACAUUUGAACUUUGACAGAAUAUUCUAUGAUAUUAACGAAUGAUUAUUUUAGAUGUGAAAAUUGUAUUACAGUUACAUAUAAAAUAAAAACCUUUAACACUUAGUGAUACUAAAUAUACUAAUAUACUUAUGGAUGAAAUGAUAAAAGUUAGAAGGGAGGAAGCCAUAGAUGCAAUAUAGUUGAAGCAAGAUAAGUCAUUGUUGAAGCUGGAUGAGUGUCCUUGGGGUUUAUUUUACUGUUCUAUAUACUUUUCAAUAAUGUUAUUUAUUUUUAAAGUUGAUCUUAAAUAACAAUUUUAUUCCCAUAACUUCAGGCUCAGAGCAGGGAGAGGUCAAUUUACUAUAGCUUCAGACAUUGAUAUGGGUACCGUACAUUUCUUACUCAGGUCUCUCCACUUCUCCUUCACAGAGUUCAUUGUAAGAGUCAUCCCAAUAAUGUUCCCCCCAUUGUACUUACAGAGAUGGCAGAGUUUGUUGUUCACCAGCCAUCUCUGAGGUGCUACAGUUCUCACUAGUCCCCAGGAUGUCUGGUUUCUUAUUCCGCUUAAGUAAAGCACAGUGCAGGCUGCCUGCAGUUAAUGGCCUAGUGGGCUGUUUAAAACUUUUUUUUUUUUUUUCUUGCCUGUUUCUGCCUUGAACAGACAGGUUCCCCAAAGAGGCCUGAAAAACACCCAUAGCACAGAAGUCUCCAGCUUUUAGCAUCAAAUAAAAAGGCUCCCAUAAAACAUCUGUCCAAGUUUGGUCCCUCAGCAGCCAUAAUUUCUUGUCUCUAACCAGCUCCACUGUGUCCCUCAUGAUGCAUAACAGAUUGUACUAAAGAUUCAGGGUAAUGGACAAGAAUUACAGUAAAGCACAAAAAAGGCAACAACUUUAAAUAGAAUAAUAGCAGUCUCUGUGCCUCGAAGCCCCUUGGCUAUCCUGCCAGCCCUGACAAUUUCUCCUCAGGGCUUGGUUUCAUGCCUUCGCUGUUCCAAGAUUUCUCCGACAUCUCAGUAUCUGGAUCUCCAUUACUGAUUCAGAAGAAAACAAAAAAUCCUUGUUUUUUUUUUUUAAUAUGCAAAGCAUUAAACUCUUCUUUGUCUGAACCGGACAAAGAAUGGGCCAAAAUCGAUUCACAUGCUUCCCUAAACAGAGGUGUAACUGUCUUCCAAACAGGAAUUCCACCUUCCUCCUAGGCCAACAAGCUCAAAUUGUUGCUUCCCUCCAAGAAUAACAAGUUUUUUAAAUAACUUUUUUUUUUUUCCUUACACAAUAAUUCUGUCUCAGCUGCCGUAGACACCACAAUCUGUGGUACACAUUUACGUAAUAAAAUGAGGUCAAGCUAUGUGCAUAGGAAGAGAGCAGCCAGAUCUGAGCAAACAUAUUCACAAUCAAUAUAAGCAGAAACUAAGUAGCUCUUUACAGUUACUUUGUUUUACUUUGUGCUUAGGAUGCUUAAAAUUGACUUAAAAUACCUCUAAGUGGUAAGGAGUGGGUCCUCAAGGAUCUUCAGUGAUUUCAAUCAGAAAUUAAGGAAGGUAAUGUCUUGGUCCCUUGUUCUAUAUAGUCUUUUGUCCUGUUUCUAUCCUUCUUUUUUUCUUUGUAGGUUCUUUACCUUGUUAGUGCAGUCAGUUGAGUCCUCUUGACUUAGUAUGUCAAUCAGCAAAAACUGAUCAGUGGCUUUGAACCCCAGUUCCAAAGUACUGUGAGAAAGAUUUCAGUUAGCCUAAGAAGCCAAGGUGUCCAUCCUCAGAGAGAACACCUGUGGCCAGGGGAAGAAGGCAAGGUUACAUAUUACAGAUAUGGCUGCUGGAGUUCACGGAGGAUAGUCUGCAGAGGAGUAUACGGACUGACAGAAAACCCAGUAUGUACCUAUUAUUAGACUAUGUCUUCAUUGCAUUUGAAAUCUUUUGUAUAAUAAACCUGUUUGAAUUACAAAGAGCGCUGGUGGCUCCGUGAUUAAGCGUUUGGCUGCUAACUGAAAAGCCAGCAGUUCAAACCCACCAUGAGCUUUUCUUCAGAAAGAAGGUGCAGUCUGCUUUCAUAAAGAUACAGCCUUGGUAACCCUGUAGGGCAGUUCUAGUCUGUCCAAUAGGGUCACUAUGAGUCAGAAUUGACUCAAUGGCAAGAGGUUUGGUUUGGUUUUGAGUCUGAAUUACAGUCGCAAAAGUAGACAGACACACUCUUUCAGCCUACCCUUCCAGAACAAAACUCUUUUGUUCUUCAGUGGCCUGACAAAUACAGAAUUUGUGUAGAAUCAAGAGAGUGUCUUUUGCAGCCUUAACCCCUAAAAUCUUGGCUCCUCUAAAUAGAUUUGUUUUUAUCAAAUGCUGACUAUGUGACAGGCACUGUUCUAAGCACUUCACAAUUAUUUUACCUAAUGGUUGUAAAAUGGUGUUGUUUUUCUUCUGGAUCAUUCUCACACGUGUGAACGGCUGACAGUUCUUUCCCCCGGCAGCUGGUCCGCUGUUCCGGGCGUGAUGACCCUGAUGUAGGCUGCCCCUUGACCUGAUAAAGUCCAUGUGGUCUCUAACUUAAAAAGUGAAAUGUCACCUACCAGAAAGCUAGAGGAAGAGGUUCCAGAAAAUUACAGGUGAGAUUUAAGACUCCUGGUGCCAAUAUCUUCUGGGAAAAUGGGCAGAAGGAAAGCUCCUUGAGGGAAGAAAAAAAGGGGCAACAGCCAAGACUGACAAGCAGCCAUAGCGGGAAGCAGAAGCUGGCUGUGCCCUGCCAUGCGGAGUUCAGGGAGUUCAGGGAUGUUCCCUGAACAGUCGUAUAAUAAUCACCUCCAGAAGAGAUCUGAUAUAAUGUGAUCACCUCUAUGAUGAGAUCUGCAGUGAUUAGCCAAUCAGUUAAAACGACGUUUCCUUGGGGGUGUGGCCUGCAUUCAGUAUAGGUGGACUUUCUGACAAGGCUCUCAGGCUUUUGCUUGCUCUGGACCCUGCAGCUGGCUCCUGUUCCACCGACAUCCAGGUCUUGGGACUUGAGCUCGCAGCUACCUGCCUGAGGCAGACGCCUUACAAGACAAUACUGACUCUUCUAAAUCUAUAACCAGACUUGAGUUCCAGUGAGCCCCAAAAGGUGAAGUACAAAGUGACCCAGGAGGAGGUACACUACACUUCAAAAGAACUGCAACUUUUCUAAUAUGUACAAACAGAAACCUGGAGGAUAUGUGUCGGAAUGGCUAUU